This 62-nucleotide transfer RNA is filed under the name Ixodes rubicundus. RNAcentral's name for it is "tRNA-Leu". Lineage: Eukaryota; Metazoa; Arthropoda; Arachnida; Ixodida; Ixodidae. The record is from RNAcentral.
GCUAAUUUGACAGAAAAAUUGUGUCAAAUUUAGAAUUUGAUUAUGGAGGCUUCCAAUUAGUA